Long non-coding RNA from Zeugodacus cucurbitae (melon fly), 435 nucleotides. RefSeq lists it as uncharacterized. The record is from RefSeq and is a predicted model, not a curated record. Lineage: Eukaryota; Metazoa; Arthropoda; Insecta; Diptera; Tephritidae. The transcript has 2 exons.
GAAAAAAUUAGAACUACCAGAGAAUAGUACUAAAUUGCAAUACGAUUAAAAAUAUAAAAUUUUUCCGUUAUAGAUUCGAAAAAUACAUUCGCAUUUCACAACUUCUUUAUCUAGUGCGCAUAAAGAAAAGUGUUCGGAUCUAGAAGUGAACCUCUCCUCUAAUUAACGAACCCCGGGGAAUGCGAUAAAAACGGGUGUGAGCCAAAAAAAAAAAAAAAAUACAAUGAAGAUAAAAUUCAAUAUAAUUCGAUUUUGCACAGUUUUAGUGCAGCAUACCCUAUGCUAAUGGUGUCAUAUGCCCUUUUUAUAGUUUAUUCAGACAUCUUAUUUAUUUUCCGAAAUGUUAGUUUACGUAUUAGUACGAAUAUGAAAGCAGAAAUAAAAGUCGAUGAUUAGAAACAAAAAUACGACAGCAAUAAAAAAUUCUAUUUCUCA